UUGGUCAGCCUAAAACUAUAGAAGGAUUCUUUUACCAUCUCCUCCAAAAAUAAUACUCCUCCUUUUAUAAUAUUGUAGUGAUGAUAUACCCUAUUCUUAAAAAAUCCAAUCCUCAUACCGUUUCUCUUUCUCAUUCUCAUUCUCAUCCUCAUCCCCUCUAUCAAUUCAAUUGGGAAAAAGCUUCUCCUCAGUAUAUAUAUCUGGUUAGGGAUUGCAGAUUUGACAAUUAUUGGACCUGAAGGUGAGGAAUUUCUGCGAAUUUGAUCGGUGCAGCUUGAAUUCAAAUACUUUACAAGUUCCACUUUUGGAAUUUGGUACUGCGGACUGGGCUUGGCUCUAGACUUCUGAUGUUUUCAGUUGCUGCCUUGGGUGCCUUAUUCUCGUGUUCCUUCUAGUUUGCUUCAGGAGUUAUCGGACUUGGCAAGCCAACAACAAAGGAUCUCGAAAGUCUCUAAGAUGGAAAGAAAUUAUAUGUUCUCGCGAACCGGAAAUGCUUGAAUGUGGCUAUUACGUCAUGAAGUACAUGUAUCAAAUAGUUUUACUUGGAUUACAAAGUAUUAGUAAUGUGGAAGAGGUACGUGUACAUGUAUUUUUGUUAUUAUUUUAUCGAUGUCUCAAUUGUUACUAUAUAUGCGCUAGCUUUUAUCUAAACUUUACUAAUUAAUACAUUAUUUUGUGGAAGUACAAAUAUUUUCUCCAAACCCGUACACUCAAGAGGAGAUCGAUGAUGUUCGAGAAAAAAUGGAGUAGAUAUUUUAUUAGUAGUUGUUUGUAGUCAUUUUCUAGUUUCCAGAGAUAGAAAUUAAACUAUAACAAAUUGUAGGUUAUUUUUUGGAAUACAAUUAUUUACAAUUGUUGAACCAACUUUCUUGUUUGAAUUAAUACAAAAAUAUAUUCGCAAUUCUGCAA
Long non-coding RNA from Spinacia oleracea (spinach), 909 nucleotides. RefSeq lists it as uncharacterized. NCBI's taxonomy places the organism in Eukaryota, Viridiplantae, Streptophyta, Magnoliopsida, Caryophyllales, Amaranthaceae. The record is from RefSeq and is a predicted model, not a curated record. The transcript has 4 exons.